This 744-nucleotide ribosomal RNA is filed under the name Pseudocercospora humuli-japonici. RNAcentral describes it as "eukaryotic LSU rRNA". It matches the Rfam family "Eukaryotic large subunit ribosomal RNA", at positions 95 to 871 of the family's 3401-position model. The record is from RNAcentral. Lineage: Eukaryota; Fungi; Ascomycota; Dothideomycetes; Mycosphaerellales; Mycosphaerellaceae.
GAAGCGGCAACAGCUCAAAUUUGAAAUCUGGCGCAAGCCCGAGUUGUAAUUUGUAGAGGAUGCUUCUGGGUAGCGGCCGGUCUAAGUUCCUUGGAACAGGACGUCAUAGAGGGUGAGAAUCCCGUAUGUGACUGGCUUGCACCCUCCACGUAGCUCCUUCGACGAGUCGAGUUGUUUGGGAAUGCAGCUCUAAAUGGGAGGUAAAUUUCUUCUAAAGCUAAAUACCGGCCAGAGACCGAUAGCGCACAAGUAGAGUGAUCGAAAGAUGAAAAGCACUUUGGAAAGAGAGUUAAAAAGCACGUGAAAUUGUUGAAAGGGAAGCGCCCGCAACCAGACUUUGCGGCAGUGUUCGGCCGGUCUUCUGACCGGUUUACUCGCUGUCGCGAGGCCAUCAUCGUCUGGGACCGCUGGAUAAGACCUUAGGAAUGUGGCUCCCCUCGGGGAGUGUUAUAGCCUCUGGUGAUGCAGCGCGUCUCGGGCGAGGUCCGCGCUUCGGCAAGGAUGAUGGCGUAAUGGUUGUCGGCGGCCCGUCUUGAAACACGGACCAAGGAGUCUAACAUCUAUGCGAGUGUUCGGGUGUCAAACCCCUACGCGUAAUGAAAGUGAACGGAGGUGGGAACUUUUUGUGCACCAUCGACCGAUCCUGAUGUCCUCGGAUGGAUUUGAGUAAGAGCAUAGCUGUUGGGACCCGAAAGAUGGUGAACUAUGCCUGAAUAGGGUGAAGCCAGAGGAAACUCUGGUGGA